AGCACCAGCAGAGGCUGCUUUUUUCCUGGCGUCCGAGCAGGAUAGCCAGUGAGCUGUAAAGGUAACUUGGAAACACUCUUAACUUCCAAGACUGACGGCGAGUCGUCUUGUGGUGGAUGUGGGUGAACUCUGGAAGCUGCCAGAGGACCGGACAUUUGCCAUAAGAGGGAGGAGUGAGGACCGGGAGAGCCCUGGACCGUGGGAGAAAAACUGUAGCUGUUGUACUUGAGCGUGGUUCAUCGCACGUGUUCUUGCACGCGCCAUUCCCUUGCCGCUGACACUCCAUCUUGCCAUUUGCUCCUUUCCCCCCAUCGUCAUCUCUGACUGUGAGGAUUCAAACGGGAGCCAGUGAAUCCACUGCGCGGGCUCGCACUUGGCGAACACUCCACAGUUUGGCGCAAUGUAAACCAUCCCGCUCUCCCAAACAGACUCCGGGACCUGUCAUGGAUGGUGGCACAUGAGAUCCUCCCGGUCAGGUCCGUCAUGCACUCCCGGGGAAUGGCAAGAAACUCAACCUGCCCCCGACCUGGUUGUGGCGCACCUGAGUCGGUGAGGCACUUGCUCUGGGAGUGCAGCGCUGCCAAAGACCUGUGGGCAAUGGCUGGCUUCUUAUAUUUCCCGUACUUGCCAGCAAGGGAGGUUCUUACAGCCCAGCUGGUGCUGUAUGGGGUGAGCCAUGACAAUAAAUCACAGAGUAAAGAAGAGUUUGCCAAGCAGUGGCUCGCCCUAGCCGCCAUCAAAGACGCCAUAUGGACCUCCAGAAACUUGCUGGUAAGAAGGCACAUGCAGAUCCCCCCCGUGGCUGUGAUCCGGAUGGCUGCAGCAACGGCUCAAGCUGCCGGAGCUGCAGGCGGCAAGCCAAGGACACAGCCACAAAGAAGAAUCGCCUCUGUGUCUAUUCGGAAGAAGGAGCCAGAGCCACACGGGGAAAGGU
Long non-coding RNA from Mugil cephalus (flathead mullet), 934 nucleotides. RefSeq lists it as uncharacterized. NCBI's taxonomy places the organism in Eukaryota, Metazoa, Chordata, Actinopteri, Mugiliformes, Mugilidae. The transcript has 3 exons. The record is from RefSeq and is a predicted model, not a curated record.